CGAGCGCACCCCUAUCCUUAUUUGCCAGCGCAUAAUGUGCGGGAACUAUGAGUGAGAGUGCCGGUCAUAAACCGAGAGGAAGGCGGGAUACGACUCUCAAGUCAUCGUGGCCCUUAUGGGUAGGGCUACACACGUGAUACAGUGGGUGGUACAGAGGGUCGCCAAAGCGCGAGCUGGAGCCAAACCCUUAAAACCAUUCUUAGUCCGGAUUGGAGUCUGCAACUCGACUCCAUGAAGUCGGAAUCGCUAGUAAUCGCGAAUCAGAAUGUCGCGGUGAAUACGUUCUCGGGCCUUGUACACACCGCCCGUCACGUCAUGGAAGUGGGUUGCACCAGAAGUGGCUUGUUUAACCUUCGGGAAAACGGUCACCACGGUGUGAUUCACAACUGGGACGAAGUCGUAACAAGGUAGCCCUAGGGGAACCUGCGGCUGGAUCA
This 437-nucleotide ribosomal RNA is filed under the name uncultured marine bacterium 311. Its description in RNAcentral is "bacterial SSU rRNA". It matches the Rfam family "Bacterial small subunit ribosomal RNA", at positions 1093 to 1525 of the family's 1533-position model. The record is from RNAcentral.